Molecule: ribosomal RNA, 231 nt
Filed under: uncultured bacterium
Lineage: Bacteria
Description: partial 16S ribosomal RNA
Rfam family: Bacterial small subunit ribosomal RNA
Source: RNAcentral
GACGAACGCUGGCGGCGUGCUUAACACAUGCAAGUCGAGCGGUAAGGCCCUUUCGGGGGUACGACGAGCGGCGAACGGGUGAGUAACACGUGGGUGACCUGCCCUCAGCUCUGGGAUAAGCCUGGGAAACUGGGUCUAAUACUGGAUAUGACUCCACGGUGCAUGUCGUGGGGUGGAAAGCCUUGUGCGGCUGAGGAUGGGCCCGCGGCCUAUCAGCUUGUUGGUGGGGGA